RNAcentral lists this ribosomal RNA (465 nucleotides) under uncultured bacterium. RNAcentral describes it as "partial 16S ribosomal RNA". It matches the Rfam family "Bacterial small subunit ribosomal RNA", at positions 31 to 507 of the family's 1533-position model. The record is from RNAcentral.
GAACGCUGGCGGCGUGCUUAACACCUGCAAGUCGAACGGAAAGGCCCUGCUUUUGUGGGGUGCUCGAGUGGCGAACGGGUGAGUAACACGUAAGUAACCUGCCCUUUACUUUGGGAUAACUUCAGGAAACUGGGGCUAAUACCGGAUAGGAGCUCCUGCUGCAUGGUGGGGGUUGGAAAGUUUCGGCGGUUGGGGAUGGACUCGCGGCUUAUCAGCUUGUUGGUGGGGUAGUGGCUUACCAAGGCUUUGACGGGUAGCCGGCCUGAGAGGGUGACCGGCCACAUUGGGACUGAGAUACGGCCCAGACUCCUACGGGAGGCAGCAGUGGGGAAUAUUGCACAAUGGGCGGAAGCCUGAUGCAGCAACGCCGCGUGCGGGAUGACGGCCUUCGGGUUGUAAACCGCUUUCGCCUGUGACGAAGCGUGAGUGACGGUAAUGGGUAAAGAAGCACCGGCUAACUACGUG